UGGGGAAUAUUGGACAAUGGGCGCAAGCCUGAUCCAGCCAUGCCGCGUGAGUGAUGAAGGCCCUAGGGUUGUAAAGCUCUUUCACCGGGGAAGAUAAUGACGGUAACCGGAGAAGAAGCCCCGGCUAACUUCGUGCCAGCAGCCGCGGUAAUACGAAGGGGGCUAGCGUUGUUCGGAUUUACUGGGCGUAAAGCGCACGUAGGCGGACUUUUAAGUCAGGGGUGAAAUCCCGGGGCUCAACCCCGGAACUGCCUUUGAUACUGGAAGUCUUGAGUAUGGUAGAGGUGAGUGGAAGUCCGAGUGUAGAGGUGAAAUUCGUAGAUAUUCGGAGGAACACCAGUGGCGAAGGCGGCUCACUGGACCAUUACUGACGCUGAGGUGCGAAAGCGUGGAGAGCAAACAGG
This 404-nucleotide ribosomal RNA is filed under the name Actinomycetes bacterium. RNAcentral describes it as "Actinobacteria bacterium partial 16S ribosomal RNA". It matches the Rfam family "Bacterial small subunit ribosomal RNA", at positions 355 to 776 of the family's 1533-position model. Lineage: Bacteria; Bacillati; Actinomycetota; Actinomycetes. The record is from RNAcentral.